GCUUGCUGAAACUCUGAGUAAACAUUUGGUAGAAGUCAAAAACUCGGACUGUCUGGUGUAUGAAUGUAAGUGUGAGAGUCUGUGUGAAGCAAAAGCUCCUUUGUGCUGUCUGGCUAUACACAUAAGUGCAAACCCUGCUUUAAGGGGAAGACAGUCGAGAACUUUUAAUUGCUUUGCUCUGAUGUAUAAUUUUGCUGUGUUAGGUUAAAAUUUUAGAAGUCUACGGUUAAUUUAAAGGUAUAAGGUUGCAACCCAAAGAAGUUUAACAAAGGCUUGUUAGGUUAAGAU
This is a long non-coding RNA of Myotis davidii, 288 nucleotides long. RefSeq lists it as uncharacterized. The transcript is spliced from 3 exons. Lineage: Eukaryota; Metazoa; Chordata; Mammalia; Chiroptera; Vespertilionidae. The record is from RefSeq and is a predicted model, not a curated record.